CCUCCUUGUCCCAGAGGCCUUGGAAAUCUUAUCUUUUGGACUACAGCUCCCAGAACCCUACAGCCAGCAUGCCAAAUGUUUUACCUGGGGAGGAGGGAGGUCAUUCAUCUGGCUACAGAGAAGAGGAGAGUGAGAUAUGAACCCAGCGCGGGGUUGGCAGAAGCUGGGGCUAAUGAUGAAAGCUCACCCUGUCCUGCGAAUCCAAACCACCGACCUUCUGAUAGUAACCUGCUGUGCUACCACAGCCCUUUAACAUGGGGGCAGGAGGCUCAGGGCAGCUUCAGAGACAUGCGCCACGGAGAUCUGUCUGCAAGUGACUGGUGCCCAAGGAGUUCUGCUUUUAUUCUCCCUUUUUGGUUCCUCACCGCCUCGCUUUCAUCCAGAUGUCACAGUUGAAAUUACACAUGCAAAAUACAUGGAGGUUUUUUGUCUGUUCUGCCGAAGUGGAGAAAAUCCAGUCCAUGGGGAUGUUCUUGUAUCAAGAUUUUACUGGUUUCGGGAUGAUUGAAACUUGCUGUCAUAUCAGCCUGGGAAUUCAGCAUCAGUCUGUGACACAAGGAUAACUUGGUAUUAGGACAGUCUAUCCCCCCAUGGGAAGCAAUCAGGACUGUUGACAAUCUUUUGUGCAUUUUGAAGAUAUUCGAUAUUAGCAUGACAAGCUAUUUAUUAUUUUUCUCACACAAUGGAAAGAGAGCUAAUUCACAGUCAAUAUGAUCUGAGCAGCAAGUAGACGGUCCAGGUUUAGUGUCAUUUUGCAUUGAUUCCCAAGUUAUCUUGUGAGAUGGAAACAAAUGUUUUGUUUUUUGAUAUUCCCAUCCUGCCUUGAUAGGCUGUGAACUAUAUCAAGGGUUUUGAGAAAACAAUAAUAAAUAAGCAUUAUUAAUUCAGAUUACAAUAUCACAGCUAGCAGUGAUACAAAUAAAAUUGUUAAUGAUGUAAUACUGAUGCAGAAGAAGCAAUGAGGUGAGCAGAAUCAGAAACAAAUGUGAAUCAAAAUUAUAAAAUUGAUCCCACAACCAGAGUCAGAGUAGCAGAAAACAAUGCAGAGAAAGCCACAUCGUUGUUACAUUCAAGUUUUUAAAAGUUAUUAUUAUUAUUAAAUUUGCAUCUUGCCUUUUUCUCAGGAUUAAAACCCAAGUUGCUCAUAUACAAAAAUCAAAAGGAGCAAUUCAAUUACUUUCCUGAGAAGUCUGAAAGUAAAGGGUUAUUUUUACAGACAUAACAGCCUUGGUCUACACUGCCAUAUACUGCAGUUUAGAAGUGCAUUAUGUGGUUAGUGUAGAGCCAUAUAAUGCAGUUUAACUGCACUGAACUGCAUUGAAGGUGUCUCUACACCAGGCAUGGGCAAACUUGUAGACUGUUAGAAAUUGUGGGAGUUGAAGUCCAAAACACCUGGAAGGCCCAAGUUUGCCCAUGCGUGUUCUACACAGACCAUAUAAUGCAGUUCCAAACCUCUCCCAAGACAAGUAUUUAUGGCUGUUAUAGAAUGUAUGCUUUUCUCAGCCCCUAAGAAAAGAGAGGUCUUUGCCUGC
This is a long non-coding RNA of Anolis carolinensis (green anole), 1532 nucleotides long. RefSeq lists it as uncharacterized. The transcript has 3 exons. The record is from RefSeq and is a predicted model, not a curated record. Lineage: Eukaryota; Metazoa; Chordata; Lepidosauria; Squamata; Anolidae.